UCUAACAAUUAAGUACUUUGAAUGUUAUAUAAGUCUCUUAUUCUGAGAAAUGAAAUCUCAUUAUUACGCAGGAAGAUAAUUCUAAAUUACCCACUUUUCCAAAAAUAGGACCAACAAAUUUUUGUUCAGACAUUAUUAUUUCACAGGAUUAGUUGCUCAAACAUUUGAGCUCCUUAAAAGCUUCGAAAGCCUGUGGUUCUGAUGACUGUCGCCCUUUAUUCUUGAAGAAAUGUGUAAAGGGACUUAAGGCGAUAUAUGAUUUUGUCUGUAAGAGAUUUGCAGCACUUCUUGACAUGAGGGGUUUUUGGCUGCAGAAAUGUGUACGUGACUUCAAGUUUUCAAACAAUCUAUUACAUUCAUUGGGUGAAGAGGAAGAUUUCCGAAGGCUGUAUAUAAAGAGACCGUACGAGAGGAACUUGAUAAAGAAUUGUGAUGCAUCACAAGAUAUGAAGCACUGGAAGAUGACAAAGUCAGGGGGAAAUGGUUGGCAGGUAGAAAAAUCCCCUAUAGGCCUUCAUCCACUGUCCCAAUUAACUCACACAG
Molecule: long non-coding RNA, 543 nt
Organism: Dreissena polymorpha
Lineage: Eukaryota; Metazoa; Mollusca; Bivalvia; Myida; Dreissenidae
Exons: 3
Source: RefSeq, a predicted model, not a curated record